Molecule: ribosomal RNA, 253 nt
Filed under: uncultured bacterium
Lineage: Bacteria
Description: partial 16S ribosomal RNA
Rfam family: Bacterial small subunit ribosomal RNA
Source: RNAcentral
UACGAAGGUCCCGAGCGUUGUUCGGAAUCACUGGGCGUAAAGGGCGCGUAGGCGGCGUGGUAAGUCAGAUGUGAAAUCCCGGGGCUCAACCCCGGAACUGCAUCCGAUACUGCCGUGCUUGAGGGUUGGAGAGGUAGCUGGAAUUAUCGGUGUAGCAGUGAAAUGCGUGGAUAUCGAUAGGAACACUCGUGGCGAAGGCGAGCUACUGGACAACAUCUGACGCUGAGGCUCGAAGGCUAGGGGAGCAAAAGGG